GACAGAGGUCCCGAGCGUUAGGCGGAAUCACUGGGCUUAAAGCGUGUGUAGGCGGAUUUGUAAGUACCUUGUGAAAUCCCACAGCUUAACUGUGGAACUGCUUGGUAUACUGCUUAUCUUGGGCCAGCUAGGGGCUACCGGAACAAGUGGUGGAGCGGUGAAAUGCGUAGAUAUCUGGAGGAACACCGGUGGCGAAGGCGGCGUUCUGGACUGUAACUGACACUGAGGAACGAAAGCCAGGGGAGCAAACGGG
This 253-nucleotide ribosomal RNA is filed under the name uncultured bacterium. Its description in RNAcentral is "partial 16S ribosomal RNA". It matches the Rfam family "Bacterial small subunit ribosomal RNA", at positions 524 to 776 of the family's 1533-position model. The record is from RNAcentral.